This 29-nucleotide non-coding RNA is filed under the name Mus musculus (house mouse). The record is from RNAcentral. Lineage: Eukaryota; Metazoa; Chordata; Mammalia; Rodentia; Muridae.
UGACAUGCCACAGAGAGUUUGAUCUCUUA